This 248-nucleotide ribosomal RNA is filed under the name uncultured bacterium. Its description in RNAcentral is "partial 16S ribosomal RNA". It matches the Rfam family "Bacterial small subunit ribosomal RNA", at positions 796 to 1041 of the family's 1533-position model. The record is from RNAcentral.
CACGCGGUAAACGAUGAAUACUAGGUGUAGGUGGUCUCAAAACUAUCUGUACCGCAGCUAACGCGAUAAGUAUUCCGCCUGGGGAGUACGACCGCAAGGUUAAAACUCAAAGGAAUUGACGGGGGCCCGCACAAGCAGCGGAGCGUGUGGUUUAAUUCGAUGCAACGCGAAGAACCUUACCUAGGCUUGACGUAGUGGUAGUAGUGAAGUGAAAGCGGAACGACCCUUCGGGGAGCCAUUACAGGUGC